This 429-nucleotide ribosomal RNA is filed under the name Actinomycetes bacterium. RNAcentral's name for it is "Actinobacteria bacterium partial 16S ribosomal RNA". It matches the Rfam family "Bacterial small subunit ribosomal RNA", at positions 355 to 776 of the family's 1533-position model. Lineage: Bacteria; Bacillati; Actinomycetota; Actinomycetes. The record is from RNAcentral.
UAGGGAAUCUUCCGCAAUGGGCGAAAGCUUGACGGAGCAACGCCGCGUGAGUGAUGUCGGUCUUCGGAUCGUAAACAUCUGUUAUUAGGGAAGAACAAAUGUGUAAGUAUCUAUGCACGUCUUGACGGUACCUAAUCAGAAAGCCACGGCUAACUACGUGCCAGCAUCCGCGGUAUUACAUAGGAGGCCAGCGUUAUCCGGAAUUAUUGGGCGUAAAGCGCGCGUAGGCGGCUUCUUAAGUCUGAUGUGAAAGCCCACGGCUCAACCGUGGAGGGUCAUUGGAAACUGGAAAACUCGAGUGCAGAAGAGGAAAGGGGAAUUCCAUGUGUAGCGGUGAAAUGCGCAUAGAUAUGGUGGAGCACCAGUGGCGAAGGCGACUUUCUAGUCUUUAACUGACGCUGAUGUGCGAAAGCGUGGGGAUCAAACAGG